AGUGAACGCUGGCGGUAGGCCUAACACAUGCAAGUCGAACGGCAGCACAGUAAGAGCUUGCUCUUACGGGUGGCGAGUGGCGGACGGGUGAGGAAUACAUCGGAAUCUACUUUUUCGUGGGGGAUAACGUAGGGAAACUUGCGCUAAUACCGCAUACGACCUACGGGUGAAAGCAGGGGAUCUUCGGACCUUGCGCGAUUGAAUGAGCCGAUGUCGGAUUAGCUAGUUGGCGGGGUAAAGGCCCACCAAGGCGACGAUCCGUAGCUGGUCUGAGAGGAUGAUCAGCCACACUAGAACUGAGACACGGUCCAGACUCCUACGGGAGGCAGCAGUGGGGAAUAUUGGACAAUGGGCGCAAGCCUGAUCCAGCCAUACCGCGUGGGUGAAGAAGGCCUUCGGGUUGUAAAGCCCUUUUGUUGGGAAAGAAAAGCAGCAGGUUAAUACCCCGCUGUUCUGACGGUACCCAAAGAAUAAGCACCGGCUAACUUCGUG
This 492-nucleotide ribosomal RNA is filed under the name uncultured bacterium. RNAcentral's name for it is "partial 16S ribosomal RNA". It matches the Rfam family "Bacterial small subunit ribosomal RNA", at positions 29 to 507 of the family's 1533-position model. The record is from RNAcentral.